This 441-nucleotide ribosomal RNA is filed under the name uncultured bacterium. RNAcentral describes it as "bacterial SSU rRNA". It matches the Rfam family "Bacterial small subunit ribosomal RNA", at positions 958 to 1398 of the family's 1533-position model. The record is from RNAcentral.
AACGCGAAGAACCUUACCUACCCUUGACAUGUCAGGAAAUUUGCAGAGAUGCGAAGGUGCCGAAAGGAACCUGAACACAGGUGCUGCAUGGCUGUCGUCAGCUCGUGUUGUGAGAUGUUGGGUUAAGUCCCGUAACGAGCGCAACCCUUAUCUUUAGUUGCCAUCAGGUGAUGCUGGGGACUCUAAAGAGACUGCUGGUGAUGAACCGGAGGAAGGCGGGGACGACGUCAAGUCAUCAUGGCCUUUAUGGGUAGGGCUACACACGUGCUACAAUGGUCGGUACAGAGGGCAGCCAACCCGCGAGGGGGAGCCAAUCCCAGAAAGCCGAUCGUAGUCCGGAUCGGAGUCUGCAACUCGACUCCGUGAAGUCGGAAUCGCUAGUAAUCGCGAAUCAGAAUGUCGCGGUGAAUACGUUCCCGGGCCUUGUACACACCGCUCGUC